UACGGAGGGGACUAGCGUUGUUCGGAAUUACUGGGCGUAAAGCGCACGUAGGCGGAUUGUUUAGUCAGGGGUGAAAUCCCGAGGCUCAACCUCGGAACUGCCUUUGAUACUGGCAAUCUCGAGUCCGGAAGAGGUGAGUGGAAUUCCUAGUGUAGAGGUGAAAUUCGUAGAUAUUAGGAAGAACACCAGUGGCGAAGGCGGCUCACUGGUCCGGUACUGACGCUGAGGUGCGAAAGCGUGGGGAGCAAACAGGG
Molecule: ribosomal RNA, 254 nt
Filed under: uncultured bacterium
Lineage: Bacteria
Description: partial 16S ribosomal RNA
Rfam family: Bacterial small subunit ribosomal RNA
Source: RNAcentral